This 301-nucleotide ribosomal RNA is filed under the name uncultured bacterium. RNAcentral describes it as "partial 16S ribosomal RNA". It matches the Rfam family "Bacterial small subunit ribosomal RNA", at positions 509 to 807 of the family's 1533-position model. The record is from RNAcentral.
CAGCCGCCGCGGUAAUACGGAGGGUGCAAGCGUUAAUCGGAAUUACUGGGCGUAAAGCGCACGCAGGCGGUCUGACAAGUCAGAUGUGAAAUCUCCGGGCUUAACCUGGGAACUGCAUUUGAAACUGUCAGGCUGGAGUCUUGUAGAGGGGGGUGGAAUUCCAGGUGUAGCGGUGAAAUGCGUAGAGAUCUGGAGGAAUACCGGUGGCGAAGGCGGCCCCCUGGACAAAGACUGACGCUCAGGUGCGAAAGCGUGGGGAGCAAACAGGAUUAGAUACCCGGGUAGUCCCUGUCUCUUAUAC